GGUGAGGCUCCGACCCCGGACAGCAAAUGCCCCAGACCAGGUGUGGCUCCAACCCCAGACAGCGAAUGUCCCAGACCAGGAGGGGCUCUGACCCAGGACAGCGAAUGCCCCAGACCAGGUGUGGCUCCAACCCUGGAAUCAAUCCCAGACAGUGAAUGUCCCAGGCUCCACGACAGCACCGAGCACCCUGGGACUCCGGCAAUCAGGCGGCUGGGACACCUCACAGAAGGGGGACAGCCAUGACGGAAGGGGGAGGCGCCCACCUGCAGCUUCAGGUCAUGACACGGCACAGAGUGGCAAGGGCCAGGGAAGGCCCUGAGGAUGAGAAUGGGCCUGGACGCUCCCUGAACCAGGGUGGGGCAGGGUAGGGAAGGGGGCGCAGAGUCACACAGGCAGUGGGGACAACAGCAGGGCCCAGGCAGCUCAAGGGGCAUGUCGGGUGGGAGGCAGGGACAUGGCGGGUGGGCCACAGGGGAGGGAAGGACAUGGUGGGUGGGCCACGGGGGAGGGAAGGACACGGUGGGCGGGCCGUGGAGGAGGAGGGACACGGCGGGCGGGCCACGGGGGAGGAAGGAUUCUGAGGAGGAGCAGACGGUGCUGGUGGCUGAAGCAGGAGGAUCACUUGAGCCCAGGAGUUUCAGACCAGCCUGAGCCACACAGGGAGACCC
Molecule: long non-coding RNA, 668 nt
Organism: Homo sapiens (human)
Lineage: Eukaryota; Metazoa; Chordata; Mammalia; Primates; Hominidae
Source: Ensembl